This 1518-nucleotide long non-coding RNA is filed under the name Sus scrofa (pig). Its description in RNAcentral is "lncRNA (ENSSSCG00005018676.1)". Lineage: Eukaryota; Metazoa; Chordata; Mammalia; Artiodactyla; Suidae. The record is from RNAcentral.
AUGCAGAGCCCGCGGGGCCAGAGGGCCCGAGAGUGGCCAGGUGGGCGGAACAGCAGUGCCCACGUGGCCCUGGUCCCUUGCGGCGGAUGGCUGCUGCCCCGGGCGGGGGCCGCAGCAUCUGGGGGGGAAGACGUCCCCGCCGCUGUCUCAGGACCGCAUGGGCUUCCGUUCACUCGAAGUGCCUGUCACGUUUCUGAACCACUGCUCGACAGGUCCCAGAUCUGGGGCCAUCAGCUCAGCCCUGGAAAUGGCUUCUUUCUCGGUGCUUCUCUCUGUGCUGUCUGCCCUCAGACCCACUCGUCCCCAAGUGUCCCUCAGGAGGCCCUCCUUCAGAAUGUGCUCCCCUGGUUUAUUUACUUAUUUAUUUUUUGGUCACGCCCGUGGCACGCAGAAGUCCCCAGGCCAGGGAUCGAACCCACGCCACAGCAGGGACAAGGCCAAGUCCUUAACCGCUAGGCCACCAGGGAACUCCCUCUGCUGGUUUUCAGACCGCGGGGCCUGCCUUCUCCGCCCAGCUUUUCGGGUAAAAGCAAACAUCUUGUAAGACCUGGGUUCCAGAAAACCCCACUUCAGAGGUACCCCCUGCACGCUCCAGUUGGGUGCCAACCCCUGGGGGCAGCACCCACUGACCUCGGGGGAGGGACAGGUCGGGUCCCCAACUGGCAGGCGCAGGGCCAGGGAGGGCCUCAGACGUGGGGGCGGGGACCUCGGCAAGUCGCUUAAGCACUGCGGCCCUACCUCUGCCCUCAAAGGAGGUAACUCAGUCCAGAAGGGUCAGGACACAAUGACGGCGGGGAAAAAGGCGGGGACCAAGUCGCUUAAGCACUGCGGCCCCACCUCUGCCCUCAAAGGAGGUAACUCAGUCCAGAAGGGGCAGGACCCAACGACGGCAGGGGUGUAGCAGGACCAAGGGAGGGGCCACAGGGCAGGGCAAGCCAGCCGGGGAGCCAGGGCCCCCAGGGAGUUCCCGUAAAGGGACUAAGGGGACGGCCCCAUCCCUCUCUCUUCCUGAAACGGCCCCACCUCUGCACAGGAUGCAGGGGCGAGCCCUCACCGCCACCCUUCCCGCAGGCCCCCCACCCUGAUGGAGACGCCGGGGUGCAGGCUCGGGUGCGUGUCCCCACACGUCUAAAUGCACGGCCUGAGCACUGUGAGGGCAGGAACACGGGCUCCGUCCCUCCUCAGGAGACUCCCUGGGAAACCACGGGCUCCAGGUCCCUGCUGAGCACCUGCUGGGCCCCAGCUUCUAACGACAACCGCAACUGAAGAGCAGAGGCUUUGAACGCUCCAGGUGCAGUGAGAAAAGAACGCAAAUGUACUAGAAGUCCUUUCUAGAAAGAGCUGGGCCGUUGCAAGGGUCCCGCCCGCUCCAGGCCCCCUUCCCCACCUCGCCUGGGGCAGGGGGUCUGGGCCCCGCCCCCGCUGAGGACCGCUGAGCUCACGGGCGCCCCCAAGGGAAGGGAGGCGCCUGGCCAGCAGCUCUGCCUUUUGGAAAGGCUCUUCCGGCAGGCGUGGGCU